Molecule: long non-coding RNA, 2177 nt
Organism: Cryptomeria japonica (Japanese cedar)
Lineage: Eukaryota; Viridiplantae; Streptophyta; Pinopsida; Cupressales; Cupressaceae
Exons: 5
Source: RefSeq, a predicted model, not a curated record
UUUUCCAAACCGACCUAUGGUCAACUUCUCAAUAAACCGGCACAACCAACAGCCAGCUUAUUUAAGGGAGGAUGGUCGACACUUUGGGGCAUGCUUGGAUAGUGGAUUGAAAUGCCUGUGUGCACAAGUGGCAGCUGGGACGAUCAUCUCAGAGCCCAAGCAAAGAGAGGAUUCGUAGUAAGGUUCCAUCGUGUAUAAGCCGUGGAAGAGCCCAAGUGAGCGCUGAAAGUGUUGGGUCGCAUCACUGCCCAAGAAUCGCAGUUGUAGCUGAAUCAAAGAUACAUUGAAAGAUGCAGAAUCGAACCGUUUUUGGUAUUCUAGCCGGGAGUAAGGAUAAAAAAAGGAUCAUGCAGAAUAAUAAGGGCCCAUACACCUCGGGAAGCAGACUGAAAGCCUAAGGAUGCAAACGAUUUCACUGGGAGCUAUUUUCUGCCUUAGCCUUUGUCUUUGAGAGGGCUCAGGCCACAAUAGACAAGACGAUCUAAAUCUAUAAAAAGAACAUUCUGGAAACAAAAAUCAAACGAUCAUAAGAGUGUUGAAUGCUUCUCAAAGUGUUCAUUGGAUUGCAGUGCCUUUCUUAGUGGUGGGGGCAGCUUUAAAAGUUAUAAGCACCAUUAACAAUAACAAGGAGUGUUUCAUACUUCUUGAGUCUAUGAAUAAUUUGUCAAAAGUGAUACUCCAAUUUCAAAAUACUCCUAUUGGAAAGAUGGACUUGCAUGCUGAAUUGAAUGAGUCUGUACAAUUAAUUGUGAAAGGAGCCAUCCUUUCUUGCUCUCAGGAAAGUAAAGGAUAUAUGAGAGGGGACAAAGAUUUCAUGGAUAGACAGGAGCUUCAACAACUUACUAAAAAUAAAGAUGACAUGUGAAUACACUUCAUGUGGAGGCCUUUGCUUUGACAAGCUUGUAUAUAGUUGGACCUGGACCUGUUUCGGCGUUCAACCAAGAUUCAAGUAAAACAUCACCAGAAAUGCGGCGUAAAGUGAAGCUAGGAGAUUCAUCCACUUCCACAUUUCGACAGGAUCAAAGGGAGUCAGGAAUUGCGCCACAACCAUCUCCAGCAGCCUCAACCAUUUGUAGAGUUCGUCAAGACUUGAGGGCUAUCCAACCAGAAAAAUACAAUCCUAAGAGAGUGGCAUUAGGAAUUUGUAAUCAUGCAGUGAGUCCGUACUUGUCUGAAAUGGAUAAGGAAAAGGUGAAUAUGGGUAAAGAAAAGGUGAAUAUGGGUGAAGAAAAGGUGAAGGCAUUAUGCACCACGAUCAAAAGGCUAAAAGAUGCGACUGUCGAAAGUUUGGUGGCAGAGAUUCAGGGAUUUGACCUGGAAAUUAGGAAAUGGUAUGACCACAGCAGGGAUAGUUUACCUGAGGAAAUAUUGGCAUGGAAUUUCGCUAUGGAUGGUUGUUUUAUAUUGGAAUUUUUCAGAUCGUUAUACAGGAUUGAAGAUCCCAUUGUUGAGAGGGAGAUAAUGACUGAUAUUCUCAUGUUGGAAAAUCAGAUCCCUUUAUUUGUUUUGAAAAAAAUACUUGAACUGGAGUUUCAAACGCCUGAAAAAACAAUCUCUUGCAAUUCUUCCUUUUUCAAUGGAAAUUCUUCUAACAGAAGUUGAAGAAAAUAUGAAAGAAGACCCAAGCAAGAAGACCCAAGCCAUUUGUUGCACUUGUUAAGCAAAAGCAUAGAGGCUUUCUUACGGCCCUCAAAUGUUCCUAUAAGUGACUGGAGGGAUUAUAUAUUUGCAGUUGUGGACAUUGAACAAAAAUUUCCAAUCAGAUUCAAACCUAGCAGAGAUGGACAAGUACGAUUUAAAAAGGGAUGGUUUGGAUCAAGUACACUUUAUCUUCCUCAAAUCUAUAUUUCCGAAGAAACAGAACCACUUUUAUGGAACUUGAUGGCUUUUGCAAUUAAGUCAGAGAACAACAUAAUUGCUCAUUUUAUAUUUUUUAUGAAUUGCAUAAUGAGUUUAAACAAUAAAACUAUUGCUCUGCUUAAGAAAAAGCAAAUUAUUAUUAGCAAAAAGAGUGAAGAAGAGUUGCAUGCAAUGUUCAGUGGGCUCACCAAAAGAAUAUGUGGCUGUGGCCCAUUUGAUAAUUUGGAGAGACAGGUAAGAGAACAUUGUAGCAGCCCAUUCAACAAUUGGAUGUUAUGGUUUCUCUGUCUACUAUUUCAAUUUGCUUUCGGUGGACU